AUGUUGAGAUGAAUCAACGGAAGUGAUAAAAAGUCAUGCAAUAUGUAAGUCCCGUUUCUUUCUGUCUGCCCAUUUAAUUGAGGAUUUUCAAGAAUUUAAUUUACAAAGGAGGAAUAUCCAAUUUAAAAUGAAAUCAUCACCAUUGGUAAAUAAGAACAAGAAGAAACAGAACAAACAAAUGAUCUAAGAUGACGAGUGUAUCUCACUAAUCACUACACAACCAUACUUACGCAUUCUUCGUCUUUAUUUCGUUGCAUCUAGCUAUCACAUUGUUUCUUUUGCAGUUUCAGACACAGAUACAC
RNAcentral lists this long non-coding RNA (302 nucleotides) under Brassica napus (rape). RNAcentral describes it as "long non-coding RNA (BNAP_LNC025066)". The record is from RNAcentral. Lineage: Eukaryota; Viridiplantae; Streptophyta; Magnoliopsida; Brassicales; Brassicaceae.